Molecule: long non-coding RNA, 5299 nt
Organism: Daphnia magna
Lineage: Eukaryota; Metazoa; Arthropoda; Branchiopoda; Diplostraca; Daphniidae
Exons: 7
Source: RefSeq, a predicted model, not a curated record
AGGAUCUUAGGGUACCUAUUGAAGCGUAUCAAAUGCAGUAGGAUAUUGAUGUUUGGGUUCUCGUCGCAGAUGCAAAUGGUCCAUGGCUCCAGGCACAAUAAUCUCUCGAGGAAAAGUGGGAUGACGUCAUCGAUGGCAGGGGAUACUCCAGAAAGGGAAAUAUUCCACUUUAAGCCGCUUGUCGUGACGUCACUCGCAGUUUGGCACCAAUUCUGGGAAAGUGAAGUUGUUGGUUACAUCGUACUUGUUUUCUUUGUUGUUGUUGCAAAGAAACGUUUGGUGGAUGUUAUUGUUUUCUUUUAUUUGAAAUGACGAUCUUCAAACGAAGUAAACAGAUGUUGACACUCGACGUCAACUGAAAGAGGAAGACGAAAAAUUAGGGCAACCUUCUUGCAACAGACAAUUAUGAACAAUGAGCAAAACGACGCACAUCAGCGAAACAAUCAGAAACGAUUGAUUUAGCCAAGGGGUGUGAGCUAAACGUUUGACAAGUGCCCCCCAUGGGCAUUAGCCAUCGUGUCGCAAUUCCGACGAUUUCCAUUAGCUAACGAGUUCUCACGAGUUUCCCCACUUCAUUGACAGCAAUUCAAUUGACUCAAACUGAAUUGAUUGUGUUCGUCUUCUAUGGCCUUUCCCCAUCCAUCGGUCGCCAUCACAAGGUCAGGACCUGCCCCCUCCCCCAAGGAAAACUAAAAUCUACUCCCCACCCCCCCAUCCCCACUCCUAGGGGGAGCGAAAACUUGGCGCUCAUCAUUUCAUCAAGUCAUCAUAUCCAUUGUGACCGACAUUCGAGCUGGCUGUGACAUGUCGUUUCUGCAUGGCUCUCUGCUUAAACUAACCGGUUUAAGUGUUUAUUACCAAAGUUUUCAGCCGUAUUCGGCUACAACAGUUAAGUGUUGAAAUACGGUGAUGUAUCAAGUGUAACUUGAGGUGCUGAACAAUCUGUAGACUGGCUUUUAUUCAUCCAGUUCAACAAUCAGCACUUACUUAGUUUUUGAAAAGAGAGAAAGAACAGCAACGGCAAAACGGCCAGCUGAUUGUCAUUUGGCGGGAAUGCAGCAGCCCCACCUAAUCGCCUAUUGUAAAUCAGUUAAUUUGUGGAUGGCUGUGCUGCGUUUGAAUACAAUUCAAGGCGAAAGAAGUUCUCUGCUCCUUUUCCAGGGUGGGCAGACGAAACCCAGUACACAUUUGAAUAGUGGAAGGAUGGUGAAUCUUGUGCAGGGUCAACUUAAGGAAAAAUCAAUUGUCUGAGACGUGGAGUGGGAAUAAGCCAUUUAAUGUGCAGGAUUGACCAUUGUGUUGAAGAAAGUUAUAGCAGAAAAGACUUCAAUGGUAUCAUGAAGAAAACAUUUAGGAAGAGAUGGUAUCUGCACAAGAUGCAUGUGUUAUUAAGCUCAAUUUGGUUGAAACAUUCACCUUAAACCUCCAGUGCUUUUUAGUAGCUGGGAUAACCAAGAAGCAGAAAAAACAAAAUUGAAAAUUGGCUUGAAGCUGAAUCUCACAAUGGGGACCUCAGAUAUAAAGCGACUGGUGCAAACGAGGUCCCGAUCAGACGGUGGCCAGUCCUCGACAAAACUACAUUAGAAUUUGCUAAAAUCUUUCUUUUAAAUUCACUGUUUGUGAUUCUGGACGUUAAAUUGUGACUAGGGUUUGUUUCGUUUGAUCUUUCAUUCGUUAUUGAAGAAAAUAAUAACGGGACAAAGGACAAAAGAAAUUGGGUGGGCGAGUUUUCGCAAGUGGAAGCUCAUCCAGGCAAUUUCUUUGUUCUUUGUCGAUUAAUGUAUUCUUCAAAACGUGAUCGAUAAAUAGUUAAAUUUGAAUCGAGAAGAGAUGUAUUGAAAUCGCUGUUCCAAGCUGGAAUGCACAUCAACAUUUGCAAUUAGGGAAUUCGUCUAUAGACGCUCAACAUUCGUAGCUAUUGGGUCAAGUCUUCCUCUAGGAAAACGCCGGUGAAAUGAGUGAAGCGACGGCCGUACAGCAACACCUUGUCCGACAUUUCCGAAAUCUCCACCCAGACUUGAUCGUUUUUGAUCAAACCGAGCGUCGAUUCGAGCGCAAACGUUUCGAACGUACCGCCCGUGUUGGUCGCGUGCGAAUAGCCAGAGCCGAUCCAAUUGCCGUUUUUGAUCAAACUGAUUUGAAAGCGAUAGGAAGGCACCACGGGAGUCUCGUUGUACAGUCCGGCCGUCAGUUGCGUGUACGGGAAAUAGGCCACUCCCGAAAUGGAGAAACUGUACUUGCCCGCACGAGGGGCCACGAACUUGCCCGUUUGCAAAUUCAUGGCUCCCCCGAUGUUCAAUUGCUCCACGUCGAACGGAAUGGGGAUGUUGGUUUCCAUGAACGGACUGCUCCUCGUCACGUAGAAAUAAGUGGACGCCGAUUUCACGUCGACGUAGCCGAUCCAUUUUUGCAUCUCUGUUUUUCAUUGUUUAAAAUUGGCUUAUUUUUAUCAAUUGAGAGAUUGGUGUGAUUGCGAAUUAUACCUUUAGCAUUGGGGUGAAAAUUGCAGUAAACUGUUUCCACGGAUCGAGUUCCCAUAACGGAAUACAAUCCGCUUAUUCGAUGUCCGAUGUGUUGCAAAUCCGAACAUGAUGUCGGCAUUUUUCCAAUGUCCGUCACGGCGCUCGUUCUCUCUUGUUUUUGGGUUUCACAGUUUCAAAAAUGAAUAAAGAACAACACCAUAAAAUGUAGAUCGUCAGACUUACCGCUUAACUUGAUGGCUAAAUCGUCCACGAUGGCUUUUGUUUCUGCAAAAUCAAAGCGAAAUGUUGCAUGCUAAUUCGUCAUCGUAAACUUUCUUAAUUGAACGCCGAGUCACGAGAAUACCGUGCAACUUGAUCUCCACCUCGUCGCCGUGCCGCUCGUUUUGCAACGCAAUCACAAUCGCGUUUUGCUGUUGGAUUUUCGAUUCGAGGCCAAUCACUUUCGUUUCUAAACGGACGAUUUUUGCUUCCAAAACUUCUUUGAUUUCAGCCUUCUCGCCCCGCCCCAAAACAAAAAUUCAAUUGUCGGGGGUGUUAUUUCGAAUGACAAAUUUAUGAUUGACUUACGUAGUUUUUCGCCAAUUGUUGCACCGUGUCUUCGAAGGAUUGGCCGUUCGCGUUGGUGUAAAUUGUGCAAGCCAAAAAGAGCCAAAACAAAUUAAUCAACGCAUCCAAAUGACGGGCCAUCUUUUCGCUGUUCAGCAAAGCGCACUGUUGCAAUCCUUUCUAGAUGACGAUCACUGUCCAAUUGUCGUUGUACUCACCGGAAUACGUCAAUACGCCACACUGACGGCCAGGGGGAGGGUUUUGAAAUACGUCAAGUUUCUUGUUUUCAAACGUACCAUGUAACUGAAAGCGGCUAGAAUUUUGGAUUUCCCAGUCUGUUCCCAGCACUUCUUUUUUAUUCACGUGUACCUCCGCCCCUUCUCUCAAAGAGCUGUGCUGCACGUCUUUUUUUUUUGUGUGGAAGGUUCAGGUAUACAACUCAAUUCAUCACCUGGUAUCGAAAGUUGUUGUAAAACUUUAUGGCCAUCUGGGAGGGGACGCUCGCGCUUGGUCGUUUGAUCAAUGAUGGAUGUUUGGAAAGAGUGAGCGACACACGUCACGAACGCUUUUGGGGGUUCUAGUUUUCCAAAGGAGGGGGGGGGAGAGUUAUUAAGAGGCCGAGUAUUAUGUUGUGGUGUUCGUUGUGCAUUAAGAAUCAUGCAAUAAUUUCAUGAUUUUGCAAUCAUCGUUGGUGAUGAGGGAAAAGACGCAAGAAAUUAAGGGGAAGGGGAUCAUUUUGCAUAUUUGAUGUUGUAUGUGUACUUGAAUGGAUUAUAGAGAAGCGAGCCGUGCUUAUAACUAACACGUUUGGUUUUGAUGUUGGAAUUGAUUUGAAUUAGCGAUUCAUCACGAAUGAGUAAGUGCCUUUUAAAGUUGUGUUUACUGUGUUUGUAUAGAUUUUUUUUUUAAAUAUUUUAUUCUUUAAAAUUGCAGUUUUUUGGUCUGCGUUCAAUAAGUAGGUUACCUUUGGGGGGGGGGGACAUUCACGAGACUUUGGUCAUGCGUGUGACAUAGGUUGGGCUUUAUCGAAAGCACCAACUGUUGUAUGGUAAUGACUCGCUUUUUGUGCAUUAAUUCUUUGCUUAGACCCAAACAAUUAAACUUUGCCUUUCGGUCUUUCAUUUGGCUUUCAAGUGUCAGGGCUAAACUAUAGACCCACUUACUCGGAUCGCUCGUUUGCUUUGUUAAGUCCCAAAAAACUGUUUUCACUGAUUGAUUCCGCUAAUAGUUUGUCUCGUACAACUGAGAUCUUCGCAGGAACGUGGGAUUUUUGGAUUUCCGGGUGUUUGACUGGAUCCUGACGUCGUUUCAAUUGAUCUGCCAGCAAUUAUUAUCUGAUUUCUCAGAGCUUUGGCUUUGGCUACGCAGAUUUAUGUUUUCCUGUUUCAGUAUGUCCAGGAGGACAUUCUUUCUCUGAAGAGCCGACUUCAUUUUGAUCCACAAACUAAAUGAAAAAAGUUGUCUCUUAGCUGUUCCAGUUGCUCUUCUCCGAUAAAAACUAGCCAUCACACAAGACAAUCACAAAGCCAAAAUAAAUGGGAUGACAGUGAUGCAUCACGCCAUGUUGUAUGACUCCAUUGGAUUACGACUGCCUUUUUAUUACGGUGUCAUCGAACGAUACAAGUUGUUUCCCCAAGUUCACGAACCAGUGCAUUUCUACAUAGGACUCUAACCAAUCGAUUUUACCAUCAUUUAUCGAUUGGGUAGUUGUUUUCAUCCUUUCUACAGAUUGUUCUGCACGUGAAGCAAAUCGAGACCAUCGACAUUUCUUCUGGGACUGAAAUUCUAAAAAUUAAAAGGUGAAAAGGGUUUUGGACAUUCAAUGGAAUUGGACCACAAAACUUCCAGCAAUCCUAGGGAAAGUCCCUUGAAUGAAUCCCUGUUAAAAAAUCAACCAUAUGAAACUUAAUUAACGAUUGAGGCUGGAAAAUAUUAGAUAUAUUUUGAAAUAAAUAUAGUAACAAGUCUUAACAAUUCAUUAAUUGGAAUGCUAGCAGCUGGAACCAGGAAACAAUGGAUUCAUGUUAUAAAGUUAAAACACCUUGUAAUUUCAUUUGAUUUGCAAAUCCUAGAACAAAAGUCUGUUCAUUUGAUUUUUAUAGUUGUUUCUACAAAGCUUUUAUCUUAAAGAUCUGUCUUCUUUUAAAUUGUUGAAUAAAUCACAGGAUUGGUGAUGUUUUUACAUGAAAAACCAUAUUCAUAGCACUUAAUAUGCACCUUUCAUAACAAUUAUUCUUCUAAGCAAAUAAUACAAACACACCUUGACAUCA